AUGGAGGAGCAACCAGUGAAACCGGAGUUUCCUGGCAUUGCCGCCGAGGUGCCAGCAGGUACUGGCACCCGGUUACCAGCUGUGGAGGUGGCAGCGCCCAAAGUCUCCAUGGGGCUGAGCCUCGCUGGCACGGCACCACUGGCCACCCUUCAAGCCAAGGAGCCGGCGUUACGGCUGCCACAGUUGGAGGUGGCUGUGCCAGCACUGACGCUGCCGGCGGUGAUGCCGGAGCCCAUCACAACCAUAAGUCAACCCCAAAUCAAGCUGGGGGAGGGAGACGCCCCCAGAAGCAGCCAUAAGGGUGGGGGGAGCCCAGUGCCGAAAACCAAGCUGCCAAAUUCCGGCGUGGCCCGAGUAGAGGAUAAGGAGGGGGAUGCUGGCACGCGAGGGGGGUUCGCGGGCAUCCGUGUCCCCUCCAUCGGCAUUGCCAUCCCCAGCGCCGCCGUGGAGCUUGUCCCUGAGCUCAGCAUGCCCAAACUAGAGCCAGCCAUCUCUGUUGAGCAACCACAGUUGGAGGUGAAGCUGCCAGCACGGCGGUCAGAGUCGCCACCAGCAGCACCAGCUCGGUUGGCUUUCCCAGCAGCGGUGGUGCCAUCCAUUGAAAUCGCUGUGCCGCAUGUCGGUGUGGGUUUGGCAUUGCCAGCAGGUGCUGACACCACAGCGGUGCCGGAUGAGGGGGUCACUGCGGUGAUACCAGACAUGGCAGCCAGGUUUGCCAAAGGGCUCCAAAAGCUCAGCCUGGAGCUGGAGCCCAAAGCACCACUGCCGGCGGUGGAAAUCGCCACCCCAGCGCAGCUCACCGGGGACGUGCCAGCAACCAGCGCCAAACCCAAACCCCCCAAAUUCACCCUGCCGCGGUUCGGAUUGUCCCUUGCCAAGCUCAAAACAGGCAGCGAUGGCAACGGGUAUCCCCCAGCAUCCCGCGGCACAACCAUGCCAGCGCCACCCAGCAUCGCCGUUGCCGGUCCCGCGGUGGCCUUAGACCUGGCUUUGGGGACAGCUGGUGCCACCGGUGCCGGGACCAAGCUGAAGGUCCCCAAAUUAUCCCUAGCACCUUUUGGUGUCAAGGAUGGGGACAAGGGUGCUGGUGGUGAGGAGGGUCCCCAGGAUGCCAGCGCAGUGAUGAAGUUGCCACAGUUGGGAAUCAGGGGAUCUGGAGGGGACGAAGGGAGGUCAGCGGAACUGGGGUCCCCUGGGACCCCCCGGCUUCGGGUACCACGGGUGGGCAUCGACCUGCCGGCAACAGGCAGCCGGCGCGUGCCGUCAUUGCCUAAACUCCCUGCAGGGCCAGAGCUGGGUGGGGUGGUGAAGUUGCCAAAAUUUGGGGGAUCCAGCCCCGACAUCCGCAUCGGGGGGGAUCCCAAAAUGAUGAGACGUGGAGGAAGUGCUGAGAGCUUGAGUAUUGGCACAGCAGGAAGGAAGAUGCCGGAGUCUCCUGGCACGUUCCUGUUGAAGCUGAAAACCAGGGGGGCUACGGGUGAUGGGGGGGUGCAACCGUUGAGUCCCCGAUUCUCUGUCCCCGCUGUGGGUUUUACCAUGCCGGUAAAACAACCAGAGGAGCCAGUAAGCCGGAAGAUACCAAAACCCACCAGCGUGCCAGCAUUGAAGGUGCCAAUGUUGGAGUUGGCACCGCCAGGGAUGGAUGGGAUGGAGGAGACCACCAGGAAGGAUGGAGCACCGGGACGCCAGUCUAGGGUCAAACUGCCAAAAUUCAGUGCAGGUUUUGCUGGGAGUGGGUUGGAAGGGGAGGGGAGGACGAGGAUGGGCAGCGUGAAGAAGGCAGUGUUGGUGCUGGUGAAGCCAAAGGAGAAAGGAGAAGACAACAGGGUUGUGGACCCCCACCCCCAUGUCAAUGGGGAAGCGGAGGGCAAGGCCCGGCGACGGCGGUGGAUGCCCAGGGUGGGCUUCUCCCCUGGGGGCUCCCCACCGGAGCCCCCCAUCACCCAACCCAAGGUGGGGAAGAUGCGGUUACCCAACAUGGAGCGCUCCCCUGGGGAGCCUGAAUUCAACAGGAUGAUGACAGAAGUCACCCCACACUUCAAUUUGGGCGGUUUCAGGGGUGAGGGGACCCCUAAAUUUCACCUGCCUAAGGUGGCACUGACCCCCCAACCCUGUGGUGAGCAGUGA
This 2127-nucleotide long non-coding RNA is filed under the name Accipiter nisus (Eurasian sparrowhawk). RNAcentral describes it as "lncRNA (ENSANIG00000008139.1)". Lineage: Eukaryota; Metazoa; Chordata; Aves; Accipitriformes; Accipitridae. The record is from RNAcentral.